This 72-nucleotide transfer RNA is filed under the name Leuresthes tenuis (California grunion). RNAcentral describes it as "tRNA-Thr". It matches the Rfam family "tRNA". From Rfam's summary of the family: Transfer RNA (tRNA) molecules are approximately 80 nucleotides in length. Their secondary structure includes four short double-helical elements and three loops (D, anti-codon, and T loops). Further hydrogen bonds mediate the characteristic L-shaped molecular structure. tRNAs have two regions of fundamental functional importance: the anti-codon, which is responsible for specific mRNA codon recognition, and the 3' end, to which the tRNAs corresponding amino acid is attached (by aminoacyl-tRNA synthetases). tRNAs cope with the degeneracy of the genetic code in two manners: having more than one tRNA (with a specific anti-codon) for a particular amino acid; and 'wobble' base-pairing, i.e. permitting non-standard base-pairing at the 3rd anti-codon position. Lineage: Eukaryota; Metazoa; Chordata; Actinopteri; Atheriniformes; Atherinopsidae. The record is from RNAcentral.
GCAUUAGUAGCUCAGCGCUAUAGAGCGUCGGUCUUGUAAACCGAAUGCCGAGGGUUAAAGUCCCUCCUACUG